RNAcentral lists this ribosomal RNA (275 nucleotides) under uncultured bacterium. Its description in RNAcentral is "partial 16S ribosomal RNA". It matches the Rfam family "Bacterial small subunit ribosomal RNA", at positions 338 to 630 of the family's 1533-position model. The record is from RNAcentral.
CCUACGGGGGGCUGCAGCAAGGAAUUUUCCCCAAUGGGCGCAAGCCUGAGGGAGCAACGCCGCGUGCAGGAUGACGGCUUUCGGGUUGUAAACUGCUUUUGGGUGGGACGAUAGUGACGGUACCACCCGAAUAAGCCCCGGCUAACUCCGUGCCAGCAGCCGCGGUAAUACGGAGGGGGCAAGCGUUGUCCGGACUUACUGGGCGUAAAGGGUCCGUAGGCGGCCUGCUGCGUCGCUGCUGAAAGCGCCCCGCUUAACGGGGCGAGGCGUGGCGA